GCCAGGCUGGCGAGCUCGGAACUGCACCGCCACAGCGCGCUCCUGCUGAGUCUGGAGCUCUGGCGUCUCCUCGGCCUCCCGCUCUGCGCCUACCACCCUCUUCCCUCCUCCUCCUCCUCCUCCUCCCGGCUCCCCCUCCCUCGGCUGCUCGCAGCCUCGCCAGUGAGAAUCUACUGUAAGUGUGAGUUGCUUAAACGGAGUCCCACACCCGCGGAGGGAAGUAAUCUGGAGGCUGCCGCGAUCUCAUUGGAUUUAAUUAAAAGACUGACAUAGAGAUUUCCUUGGUGAUCCAAUAGUUAAAAGUCCACGCUGCCAGUGCAGGGGGUGGAAAGUGUUCAGGCUGCUGCUCUAACUUAUACCAUACACUGGUUGGCCUACAACAAAUCCAUUUACUUCUCGCAGUUCUGGAGGCUGAGAAAUCCAAGAGGAAGGUGCCAGCAGAUGCGGGGCCUAACUGGGCUUCUCAUCACUUCCACUGGGCAGUGAUCAAGACCAUCAGCCUCAAAAAGAAAUGCAAUAAGGCAAAACGGUUGUCUGAGGAGGCCUUACAAAUAGCUGAGAAAAAAAGAGAAGCUGAAGUCAAAUGAGAAAAGGAAAUAUAUACCCAUCUGAGUGCAGAAUUCCAAAGAAGAGCAAGGAGAGAUAAGAAAUCCUUCCUCAGUGAUCAAUGUAAAGAAAUAGAGGGGGAAAAAAUAGAAUGGGAAAGACUAGAGAUCUCUUCAAGAAAAUUAGAGGUACCAAGGGAACAUUUCAUGCAAAUUGGGUACAAAAAAGGACAGAAAUGGUAUGGAUCUAACAGAAGCAAAAGAUAUUAAGAAUGGGUGGCAAGGAUACACAGAAGAAAUAUACAAAAAGGAUCUUCAUGAUCCAGAUAAAUAGGAUGGUAUGAUCGCUCACCUAGAACCGGACAUCUUGGAAUAAGAAGUCAAGUGUGCCUUAGAUGUGCCAGAAACACAUCUACUUCUGCUUUAUUGACAACGCCAAAGCCUUUGAGCAUGUGGAUCACCACAAACUGUGGAAAAUUCUUCAAAAGAUAGGAAUACCAGGCCACCUGACCUGCCUCUUGAGAAAUCUGUAUGUAGGUCAAGAAAAAACUCUUAGAACUGGAGAACUGGACAUGGAACAGUAGACUAGUUUCAAAUUGGGAAAGAGGUAUAUCAAGGCUGUAUGUUGUCACCUUGCUUAUUUAACAUAUAUGCAGAGUACAUCAUGUGAAAUGCCAGGUUCAGUGAAGCACAAGCUGGAAUCAAGAUUGCUGAGAGAAAUAUCAAUAACCUCAGACAUGCAGAUUAUACCACCCAUAUGGCAGAAAGUGAAGAGAAACAGAGGAACUUCUUGAUGAAAGUGAAAGAGUGGAGUGAAAAGUUGGCUUAAAAGUCAACAUUCAAAAAAUGAAGAUCAUGGCAUCUGGUCCCAUCACUUCAUGGCAAAUAGAUGGUAAAACAGUGGAAACAGUGACAGACUUCAUUUUCUUGAGGUCCAAAUUCACUGCAGAUGGUGACUGCAGCCAUGAAAUUAAAAGACUCUUGUUUCUUUGAAGAAAAGCUUUGACCAACUUAUACAGCAUAUUGAAAAGCAGAGACAUUACUUUGUCAACAAAGGUCCAUCUAGUCAAGGCUACGUUUUUUUCCAGUAGUCAUGUAUGGAUGUGAGAGUUGGACCAUAAAGAAAGCUGGGCACUGAAAAUUGAUGCUUUGGAACUGUGGUGUUGGAGAAGACUCUUGAGAGUCCCUUGGACUGCAAGGAGUUCCAACCAGUCAAUCCUAAAGGAAAUCAGUCCUGCAUAUUCUUUGGAAGGACUGAUGUUGAAGCUGAAACUCCAAUACUUUGGCUACCUGAUGCCAAGAAAUGAUUCACUGGAAAAGACCUUGAAGCUGAGAAAGUUUGAAGGCAGGAGAAGGGAUGACAGAUGAUGAGAUGUUUGGUUGGCAUCCCUGACUUGAUGGACAUGAAUUUAAGUAAGCUCUGGGGGUUGAUGAUGGACAGGGAAGACUGGUAUGAUGCAGUCCAUGUCGUCACAGAGUUGGACACGACUGAGGGACUGAAAUAAACUGAACAUGGCGUGUAAUUGUUUUUCAGGGAAAAGGUUGACAGGUACAUUUUAGUUCAAUCGAUCUUGGAAAUAUUUUAUAAUAAAUAGCACUGAUUUGUGUCCUCACUAAAUGAGGGGCGCUCAACAGAUUUGGGAGAAAAGGAAAUGAUUGCAAGAGAUUAGUAACAAGUUAGGGUACUUUCUUAUUUCUUAAGUCCAAUUACUUUACAAAAUUAUGUAGAGUAGUUUUUAUGCAAAUAAAUAUUUUAAGGAUAUAUGGAGUUCAAGAUUUUGCAGUUUAAUUCUAACCCUCCUGCAGAUAGCAAUAUAAGAUAGAAAUGUGUCAGAGAACAGAGUUUGGGGUUGGGGACAUAUUUGAAAAUUUAUGGAGGAAACUCUGAAAAGAGGGAUUUGGAUAGAAGAUGGGAACAAAGAAUGUUUAAAAACUGCAAGAAUCCUAAUAAAAUACUAAAGUUUUCAAACAAGAACAUGAGGAAAUCUCUCAAAAUGUAGUAACUCAAAUGUGAAAGAUUUGGGUGACUGUUUCAGUUGCUGCCCAUGUAAGGGAGACAUGAUUUGAGUUCAGCCAAGUGAAAUACCUGCUUGGAAAAAAAAAAAAAAUUAACCCUCUGAAUAGAAUUAUAGGAAAAUAUAGAAUCUCUACAAUGACAUGAAUAAAUAUAAAUAUAAACAUAAUAUCCAGUCAGAAACAAUGAGAAUGCAAAGAACAUUAAAAUAUAGAAUUUAUACAGGAAAAAAUGUAGCCAUUAGAAAAUCUUCAUGAAAUUAUCAGUAUAUUGAAAUUAGCAACAUAUGCAUAAAAUAGCUAUUAAAAUAUGCUUAAUGAGUUAAAGGAAGAUACACUCAUGUAUAAUCAGAUGAGAAAUCAAUAAAGAAACAGAACUAUAAAAAAGAACCAAAUCAAUGCAGUGAGCCUAAGAAGUAUAGCUGAAAUAAAGAUUUUAAUCCAUGAAAUUAAUAAAAAAUAGGAGGCUGUACAUGAAAACAUCAGUGAACUGGAGAUAAAUCAGUUGAAAAUAUCUAAUUUGAAUAAUAUAAAUAUUAAGUACUCUGAAAUAUAUGUAAUUGAAGUACUAUGGAAAAGGAGAACAAGAAUGGGGCAGAAAAUUAUUCGGAAAUAUAUUAUAGCCCCAAACUCACAAAUCUGAAGAAAAAACAUCAAACUACAGAUGUAUGUACUUUAAAAAAAUCACAUCGUUGCAAAACUGUGGAUAUCAAAAAUAAAGAUAAAAAAACUAAAAGAGGCAGAAGAAACGAUCCUUCACAAACACACAAAAAGGAAUUAAAAUAACUGCUGACUUAUUAGGAAAAAAAAAUGUCUUUACAACAGAACAAUCAGUCCAAUGUGCUAAACAAAAGCUACUAUCAAUGGGAAUGUGAUAUCUAUAAAAAUAAGUAUUCAAAAAUGAUAGGAGAAAAACAUUUUAUUGUAAACCAAAACUGAGAGAAUUCAUCGUAUUCAAAUUUAUGUACCAAAAAAUGCUAAAGAAAUAACUCAGGAUGAAGGAAAAUAACUUCAGAUGGUAGCUUCAAUACAAAUAAAAAGGUACAGGUGUUAAAUGUGAUUAAAUAAAAGCCAGUUUUAUUUUCAGCCAAGAUGGAGCAAAAGGGACGAGAUUUACCUUCCCACCCAAAACAACAAAUAUCCAGACAAAAUAAAUGAAACAAUAACACCCAGCAAUGUAAUCUCCAAGAGAUGGGAAAGAAAUGAGAUGUGCCAUAUAAUUGUCUCAGUGUACUGUCUGGAAAACAUAACCGAAGGCAGAAUUCAACUAUCUCUCAGGAGAGGAGAGGGGUCUAGGAGCCUAGGAGGCUAAGGCAGCCAAAGUUCAUAGUGCAGAGCACAAGAAAGGAGGAGGAGAAGGAGAAGAGAGAGAGAGAGAGAGAUCUGGAUUUCUGCAGUAUCUGCAUAAUACUAAGUGGGGAGUAUGUACAUGGAAAAUACCUGAGUUCAGAGAAAGAACCACCAAAAAUGAUUAGAAAUAGCAACCUGCAAAUCUCACACUAAAGAAUGUUGUUUGUUGUAAAAAGAAACAGUGUGGAAAACCUUAUAAUUCAUGAAGAAACAGAUGGACUACUAAAAAGAUCUUACUUAAUGAUUUGUAAAAUUAACACUAGUCUAAACACUGAUCUGCUUCCACCUAAUAAAGUUUAAAGACAAUAUCCAUGAAGAUCAAAUGGUUUUGAAUAAGUUAAUUGUACCCUGGAAGAAGCUCAGUAUUUAUAGGAAUACAAAAUUAUCCAUCAUCCAACGAGGACAAACUGUACCAUAUAAUUAAAAAUUAUCAUGCACCCCCAAAGCAGAACAAUUUGCCCAUUGAAGAAAGAAAAAGAAUCUAUUAAAAUAAUCCUAGGUAUGACACAGAUGUUAUUUGCCACAGCCAAAAACUUGGAACAGCUCUAACGCCCACCAAAAAUGGAUUGGUCAAACAAUAGAAUGUUACUCAGUAUAACAUAAGAAUGAUAAAAUAAAACUGAUAUAUAGAACAAUGUGGAUGAAUAUUAAAAUAAUGGUUUCAGUGAGAAGCCAAACCAUAUAGUAAAUUCUGUAUGAAUUCUUUUAUACAAAAUUUUUUAAAAUGUACAUUGAGACUUCUAUAGUCUCAAGAAGCAGAUCAAAGGUUGUCUGUUUGGAGAUUGCAGCACAUAUGAGGGAAGAAAUACCAAAGAUCAAAAGGAAACCUAUGGAAAUGUUGGAUAUGUUUAUUAUGUUGAUUUUCUUAAUGGUUUAAUGAGUACACACAUGUCAAAGCUUAUGAGACUGUAUAUCUUAACCAUGAGCUGUUUUGUAUAUCAAUUGUACAUCAAUAAAUAUGGUGAAACCAAACCAAAGACCAAGAAUAGCCCUGACAGUAUAUUCAGUUCAGUUCAGUUCAGUUCAGUCGCUCAGUCAUGUCUGACUUUGUGACCCCAUGGAUUGCAGCACUCCAGGCUUCCCUAUCCAUUACCAACACCUGAAGCUUACUCAAACUUAUGUCCAUCAAGUCAGUGAUGCCAUCCAACCAUCUUAUCCUCUGAUGUCCCCUUCUCCUCCUGCCUUCAAUCUUUCGCAUCAUCAGGGUCUUUUCCAAUGAGUCAGUUAUUCAUAUCAGGUGGCCAAAGUAUUGGCAUUUCAGCUUCAACGUCAGUCCUUCCAAUGAAUAUGCAGGACUGAUUUCCUUUAGGAUGGACUGAUUUGAUCUCCUUGCCUUCCUAGGGACUAUCAAGAGUCUUAUAAAAUACCACAGUUCAAAAGCAUCAAUUCUUCUGUGCUCAGCUUUCUUUAUGCUCCAACUCUCACAUCCAUACAUGACUACUGGAAAAACCAUAGCUUUGACUAGAUGGAUCUUUGUCUGCAAAGUAAUGUCUCUGCUUUUUUAACAUGCUGUCUAGUUUUGUCUAGCUUUUCUUCCAAGGAGCAAGUGUCUUUUAAUUUCAUGGCUGCAGUCACCAUCUGCAGUGAUUUUGUACCCCAAGAAAAUGAAGUCUGUCACUGUUAAUACAAUAUUAUCAGCCAUAGUUCUAGUUAUUAACUUAGAAUGUUAUAUGUCCAGAAAUAUCCAAGUUUCCUACUAAUUGCAUUGUACUCAAAUCUUUAACCAUGCUUUUUUAAGUUUUGACCUUUCAAUCAUUAUUUUAUACCAUUUUUACAAAAUGAAGAUUUUCAAGAAGACUCAUAAAAACUACAUUUAAAAAAAUAAAUAUAAGUUUAUGAUAGCUUUUAGAUAAUACCACUGAACUGGGUAACAAAUGACAGAACUAAUGGAAAACCUGCUUACUUCAUUGAAAUCAACAGGAACUAAUUACCUUUGACUGAAUGAACUAAUGAGUAUAGUUUAUAACUUUUUGACUUUUUGAAAAAUAC
Bos taurus (domestic cattle) is the source of this 5897-nucleotide long non-coding RNA. NCBI's taxonomy places the organism in Eukaryota, Metazoa, Chordata, Mammalia, Artiodactyla, Bovidae. The record is from Ensembl.